GAUGAACGCUGGCGGCGUGCCUAAUACAUGCAAGUCGAGCGAACAGACGAGGAGCUUGCUCCUCUGACGUUAGCGGCGGACGGGUGAGUAACACGUGGAUAACCUACCUAUAAGACUGGGAUAACUUCGGGAAACCGGAGCUAAUACCGGAUAAUAUAUUGAACCGCAUGGUUCAAUAGUGAAAGACGGUUUUGCUGUCACUUAUAGAUGGAUCCGCGCCGCAUUAGCUAGUUGGUAAGGUAACGGCUUACCAAGGCAACGAUGCGUAGCCGACCUGAGAGGGUGAUCGGCCACAUUGGAACUGAGACACGGUCCAGGCUCCUACGGGAGGCAGCAGUAGGGAAUCUUCCGCAAUGGGCGAAAGCCUGACGGAGCAACGCCGCGUGAGUGAUGAAGGUCUUCGGAUCGCAAAACUCUGUUAUUAGGGAAGAACAAAUGUGUAAGUAACUAUGCACGUCUUGACGGUACCUAAUCAGAAAGCCACGGCUAACUACGUG
Molecule: ribosomal RNA, 497 nt
Filed under: uncultured bacterium
Lineage: Bacteria
Description: partial 16S ribosomal RNA
Rfam family: Bacterial small subunit ribosomal RNA
Source: RNAcentral